Molecule: ribosomal RNA, 270 nt
Filed under: uncultured bacterium
Lineage: Bacteria
Description: partial 16S ribosomal RNA
Rfam family: Bacterial small subunit ribosomal RNA
Source: RNAcentral
AAUCAACGCUGGCGGCGCGCUUAACACAUGCAAGUCGCACGAGAAAGCGGGAGUAAUCUCGCAAGUAAAGUGGCGUACGGGUGAGUAACACGUGGGUAAUCUACCUUUUAGUGGGGAAUAACGCUGGGAAACCGGCGCUAAUACCGCAUAAUCUCGAGAGAGGAAAGCAGCAAUGCGCUGAAAGAGGAGCCCGCGGCCGAUUAGCUGGUUGGGAGGGUAAAAGCCUACCAAGGCAAAGAUCGGUAGCCGGCCUGAGAGGGCACACGGCCA